GACACUUUGGCCGAGUGGUUAAGGCGGUGCCCUGCGUAAGUUGUCUCUCGCACCGCUCCGAAUCGAACCUAUUUCUAAUGACCUCAGUAGUAAGGCAUUACAUUCGUGUGCGUAGGUUCGAAUCCUGCAGGUGUCG
Molecule: transfer RNA, 136 nt
Filed under: Metarhizium album ARSEF 1941
Lineage: Eukaryota; Fungi; Ascomycota; Sordariomycetes; Hypocreales; Clavicipitaceae
Rfam family: tRNA
About the family: Transfer RNA (tRNA) molecules are approximately 80 nucleotides in length.
Source: Rfam by way of RNAcentral